UGCCCACACAGACAGACAUCAACAAGCGAACAACUCAACAGCAUGAACUAAAACGCUUAUCCUCAUAACUUGCAGCAAAAGGAAUAACCACUUCUCAUAACUUGACGCCAACAAAUAGAAGAGAAACACGUCUCAUAAACUCCACACGUAGAAUCGCGUUUUCAUCCUUGCAUCCAUCUUCACCUCCGCCUUCUUCAAAUUGCAGCGCACCAAGUCAAGAAACACGAAUCCACUUCAUCGAUUCGCAACUCGGAAUCAUAAUCAAACCUCAAUUCGAUAUCGUGCGGGUGUGCAAACUGAAGAAAAAUAAAAAGCGUCAAAGUCAAAUCGAAGACUCACCACAUUAAACAGUUGCAGGGUAAUUGGAGUGCAUUUGGAACUGUUUUGCAGGCCAUGGACUGUUAUGGAGAAAAACAGGCAGUUAUGUAACUUCACAGGAUUAGAGUUAACAUAAGCCUCCACAUGGGCUCCAGAGCAGAAUGACUUUUUUUGUGACGUACAGAUUACCUGUGGCAACAACAGAGGACACUUGAAAUGAGGAGAAGCAUUAGUGAGUGUGUAUGAGGAAGAAGUAGAAGGUGAUGACGUGGCAUGAGUUGGAUUUGGAAAGUUCAUAGCUUAAUAAUUGAUAAAUCAGCAACAGCAGCAAUGUAUAGGUUAGGCUUUGUUUGUGGUUAUGUUGUCCUAAUGGUAAUGUGGUUUGGAAUGGACAUGUAUUGGCUUGUGAACAUGGUUUCAAAUGUUUGGUUUUUGAAUGUAUAGGUUGGUUUGAAAUUGUAUGUAUAAAUUGGUUUGAAAUUGCAAUGAAUUUGGUUUAAUGAUUGUAAAUUGAAACAAUGGUUGAAUAUUCUAAUGUGAAAGAGUGGUUGAAUUGUA
Molecule: long non-coding RNA, 876 nt
Organism: Lathyrus oleraceus (garden pea)
Lineage: Eukaryota; Viridiplantae; Streptophyta; Magnoliopsida; Fabales; Fabaceae
Exons: 2
Source: RefSeq, a predicted model, not a curated record